CAUACUUCGCCGCGUCGUGGUUCUCUGACACCAGAGCACCAGAGCCAAGAGGCAAUCCGGUGUGCUAAGCGGAAAGCCGGACCUGCCCCGCAACUGUAAGCGGCUAGCCGACGUCGACGACGCCACUGAAGUAUGGUCGGGAAGGCCGACUAACGCGACAGUCCGCAAGCCAGGAGACCUGCCUCGACAGUCUUGAACGU
This 200-nucleotide non-coding RNA is filed under the name Methyloceanibacter marginalis. The record is from RNAcentral. Lineage: Bacteria; Pseudomonadati; Pseudomonadota; Alphaproteobacteria; Hyphomicrobiales; Hyphomicrobiaceae.